RNAcentral lists this transfer RNA (74 nucleotides) under Leptomelanosoma indicum (Indian threadfin). RNAcentral describes it as "tRNA-Val". It matches the Rfam family "tRNA". Rfam says of the family: Transfer RNA (tRNA) molecules are approximately 80 nucleotides in length. Their secondary structure includes four short double-helical elements and three loops (D, anti-codon, and T loops). Further hydrogen bonds mediate the characteristic L-shaped molecular structure. tRNAs have two regions of fundamental functional importance: the anti-codon, which is responsible for specific mRNA codon recognition, and the 3' end, to which the tRNAs corresponding amino acid is attached (by aminoacyl-tRNA synthetases). tRNAs cope with the degeneracy of the genetic code in two manners: having more than one tRNA (with a specific anti-codon) for a particular amino acid; and 'wobble' base-pairing, i.e. permitting non-standard base-pairing at the 3rd anti-codon position. Lineage: Eukaryota; Metazoa; Chordata; Actinopteri; Polynemidae. The record is from RNAcentral.
CAGGGUAUAGCUAACUUAGAUAAAGCACCUCCCUUACACUGAGAAGUCAUCCGUGCAAAUCGGAUUAUCCUGAC